UGGGGAAUUUUGGACAAUGGGCGAAAGCCUGAUCCAGCAAUGCCGCGUGUGUGAAGAAGGCCUUCGGGUUGUAAAGCACUUUUGUCCGGAAAGAAAUCCUUGGCUCUAAUACAGUCGGGGGAUGACGGUACCGGAAGAAUAAGCACCGGCUAACUACGUGCCAGCAGCCGCGGUAAUACGUAGGGUGCAAGCGUUAAUCGGAAUUACUGGGCGUAAAGCGUGCGCAGGCGGUUUGCUAAGACCGAUGUGAAAUCCCCGGGCUCAACCUGGGAACUGCAUUGGUGACUGGCAGGCUAGAGUAUGGCAGAGGGGGGUAGAAUUCCACGUGUAGCAGUGAAAUGCGUAGAGAUGUGGAGGAAUACCGAUGGCGAAGGCAGCCCCCUGGGCCAAUACUGACGCUCAUGCACGAAAGCGUGGGGAGCAAACAGGAUUAGAUACCCUGGUAGUCCACGCCCUAAAACGAUGUCAACUAGUUGUUGGGGAUUCAUUUCCUUAGUAACGUAGCUAACGCGUGAAGUUGACCGCCUGGGGAGUACGGUCGCAAGAUUAAAACUAAAUGAAUUGACGGGGUCAUAGCUG
RNAcentral lists this ribosomal RNA (579 nucleotides) under uncultured bacterium. RNAcentral's name for it is "partial 16S ribosomal RNA". It matches the Rfam family "Bacterial small subunit ribosomal RNA", at positions 355 to 932 of the family's 1533-position model. The record is from RNAcentral.